Pluteus cervinus is the source of this 85-nucleotide non-coding RNA. The record is from the annotation of a GenBank genome assembly. Lineage: Eukaryota; Fungi; Basidiomycota; Agaricomycetes; Agaricales; Pluteaceae.
ACACCGGUGGUGAAGUGGAAUCACUCUUGGGGUGUGGUGUAUUCCGCCACCCCAAGAAUCGAGGGUUCGAAUCCCUCCCAGUGUU